Molecule: ribosomal RNA, 120 nt
Filed under: uncultured bacterium
Lineage: Bacteria
Description: partial 16S ribosomal RNA
Rfam family: Bacterial small subunit ribosomal RNA
Source: RNAcentral
GACGAACGCUGGCGGCGUGCUUAACACAUGCAAGUCGAGCGGAAAGGCCUCUUCGGGGGUACUCGAGCGGCGAACGGGUGAGUAACACGUGAGUAAUCUGCCCUUCACACAUGGAUAACC